RNAcentral lists this ribosomal RNA (1024 nucleotides) under Cosmospora ustulinae. RNAcentral describes it as "SSU rRNA". It matches the Rfam family "Eukaryotic small subunit ribosomal RNA", at positions 69 to 1104 of the family's 1831-position model. The record is from RNAcentral. Lineage: Eukaryota; Fungi; Ascomycota; Sordariomycetes; Hypocreales; Nectriaceae.
GCAAUUAUACCGCGAAACUGCGAAUGGCUCAUUAUAUAAGUUAUCGUUUAUUUGAUAGUACCUUACUACUUGGAUAACCGUGGUAAUUCUAGAGCUAAUACAUGCUAAAAAUCCCGACUUCGGAAGGGAUGUAUUUAUUAGAUUAAAAACCAAUGCCCUUCGGGGCUCCUUGGUGAUUCAUGAUAACUUCUCGAAUCGCAUGGCCUUGUGCCGGCGAUGGUUCAUUCAAAUUUCUUCCCUAUCAACUUUCGAUGUUUGGGUAUUGGCCAAACAUGGUUGCAACGGGUAACGGAGGGUUAGGGCUCGACCCCGGAGAAGGAGCCUGAGAAACGGCUACUACAUCCAAGGAAGGCAGCAGGCGCGCAAAUUACCCAAUCCCGACUCGGGGAGGUAGUGACAAUAAAUACUGAUACAGGGCUCUUUUGGGUCUUGUAAUUGGAAUGAGUACAAUUUAAAUCCCUUAACGAGGAACAAUUGGAGGGCAAGUCUGGUGCCAGCAGCCGCGGUAAUUCCAGCUCCAAUAGCGUAUAUUAAAGUUGUUGUGGUUAAAAAGCUCGUAGUUGAACCUUGGGCCUGGCUGGCCGGUCCGCCUCACCGCGUGUACUGGUCCGGCCGGGCCUUUCCCUCUGUGGAACCCCAUGCCCUUCACUGGGUGUGGCGGGGAAACAGGACUUUUACUUUGAAAAAAUUAGAGUGCUCCAGGCAGGCCUAUGCUCGAAUACAUUAGCAUGGAAUAAUAGAAUAGGACGUGUGGUUCUAUUUUGUUGGUUUCUAGGACCGCCGUAAUGAUUAAUAGGGACAGUCGGGGGCAUCAGUAUUCAAUUGUCAGAGGUGAAAUUCUUGGAUUUAUUGAAGACUAACUACUGCGAAAGCAUUUGCCAAGGAUGUUUUCAUUAAUCAGGAACGAAAGUUAGGGGAUCGAAGACGAUCAGAUACCGUCGUAGUCUUAACCAUAAACUAUGCCGACUAGGGAUCGGACGAUGUUAUUUUUUGACUCGUUCGGCACCUUACGAGAAAUCAAAGU